Molecule: ribosomal RNA, 468 nt
Filed under: uncultured bacterium
Lineage: Bacteria
Description: partial 16S ribosomal RNA
Rfam family: Bacterial small subunit ribosomal RNA
Source: RNAcentral
GACGAACGCUGGCGGCGUGCUUAACACAUGCAAGUCGAACGGAAAGGCCCUGCUUUUGUGGGGUGCUCGAGUGGCGAACGGGUGUGUAACACGUGAGUAACCUGCCCUUGACUUUGGGAUAACUUCAGGAAACUGGGGCUAAUACCGGAUAGGAGCUCCUGCUGCAUGGUGGGGGUUGGAAAGUUUCGGCGGUUGGGGUUGGACUCGCGGCUUAUCAGCCUGUUGGUGGGGUAGUGGCUUACCAAGGCGUUGACGGGUAGGCGGCCUGAGAGGGUGACCGGCCACAUUACGACUGAGAUACGGCACAGACUCCUACGGGAGGCAGCAGUGGGGAAUAUUGCACAAUGGGCGGAAGCCUGAUGCAGCAACGCCGCGUGCGGGAUGACGGCCUGCGGGUUGUAAACCGCUUUCGCCUGUGACGAAGCGUGAGUGACGGUAAUGGGUAAAGAAGCACCGGCUAACUACGUG